CAUGAAGCUGGAAUUGCUAGUAAUCAUAGGUCAGCAUACUAUGGUGAAUACGUUCCCGGGCCUUGUACACACCGCCCGUCACACCAUGAGAGUUGAGAAUACCCGAAGCCCAUGUCAAAGUGGUCGAAGGUAGGCUUGAUGAUUGGGGUGAAGUCGUAACAAGGUACC
RNAcentral lists this ribosomal RNA (168 nucleotides) under uncultured bacterium. RNAcentral describes it as "partial 16S ribosomal RNA". It matches the Rfam family "Bacterial small subunit ribosomal RNA", at positions 1319 to 1500 of the family's 1533-position model. The record is from RNAcentral.